AAAUAGAUGAAUAAAAUAGAAUAUGUUGAAAACCAGUACAAAAUACCAACACAACCCGACAAUCCGGUGUCACUAGUCAAGAGCCUCUAAAUACAACCCAAACUAACUGAAUAAUACAUCAUAAGUCUAAAAUAACAGAAUCCUAAAAUAGGAAGGAGGAAAGCAGGGCUGCGAACGCCGUGCAGUUACCUUGCAGUCUUCGGCAAAGCUUUGAGAGUGCUGGAAACUCUCACUCUAAUGUUCAGGCACUUGGAUCUGCACACAAGGUGCAUGGAGUAAUGUGAGUAUGCCAACUCAGUAAGAAACUAAAGUAAAUAAGGUUUGAGUGCAGUGACGAGCAAUUAAAAUCAUAUAACAAGUCUUAACAGAAAUAUCAAGUCAAAUUCUGCAAUUUAAAGGCCAGCCAUUUCGUAAAAGUUCAGUUUCGAUUAAAAGUCCUUUAAAAAUAUUUAUCCAACAUUUAUCAACAGAGACUCAGUAUAAAAGAAGAGUGAAAGCAACAAAAGUCAUAAACAAGCCCUUCGGGCAAGGUAUCACUCAUAAAUGUAGCCUCUCGGGUAAGCCUCUAAUUCACUCGUGACUCAGCUCUCGUCAAACAGUACUCACACUAAGCACUCUGGCUCAAUAAUAUCUCAUAACAAUAAUAAUCAUAAUAAUCGCUGCAGCGUGCAGCUUGAUCGCUGACUCUGGAGGGGCUCCUACAGCCCAAACAUCAUAUCGCUGCGGCGCGCAGCCCCAUCCAAUAUAUAUAUCGCUGCGGUGUGCAGCCUGAUUCAUAUGUAUAUCACUGCGGCGUGCAACCCAAUCCAUAUAUAUAAUAUCGCUACGACGUGCAGCCCGAUCCAUAAUAGAUAUAUAAUCCUCACCAUUAGGUCCUAAACCUCUCUCAGUCAUUAACCUCAUGGCCACUCGGGCAUAUCAGUGAAUAAUUAGAGAACUCGGCCCAAACAGUUUUCAUAUAUUAGGAAAUAGAGUGAUGAAACCAGUUUUAAACAAUAAAUAGGUAAAACAUAACUAAGGAUAUGCUUUCAAAUCAAAACAGAGUGAGGAAAGUAGUAAAAAUACCCCUAAGGGUCUAAACAGGUCGACACAAGGCCCCAAACACGGCAUACAACCCAACAUAUAGUAUUAAUCUCUAAAAUACAAGAUAUCAUAAGAUUUCAAACCAAAUACGCGGCUUAAUAGUUGCUACAGAAUGGACCAAGUCACAAUCCCUACUGAUGCACGCCCACACGCUCGUCACCUAGUAUGUGCGUCACCUCAUUUAUCAAAACAAUGCGAAAUACCGAGGUUUCAUACCCUUAGGUCCAGAUUUACAAUGGUUACUUACCUCAAACAGGAUGAAAUACUACUCUGUAACGCCCUUGCCUCUUGACUCGGCCUCAACUCGCAUCGAAUCUAUCCAAAAUCAGAAUCAUGACGUUAGAAUAUGCUAAGGGAACGAAGCCCACACAAAAAUAAUCAAAUUACAACACGAAUCCCCAAAUUGGCCAAACCCGACACUUGGGCCCACAUCUCGGAAUCCGAUAAAAAUGACAUCAAUAAACUCCUUAUCCUCACACGAGUUCAUACAUACAAAAAACACCAAAAUGCGACCACAAAUGACCCCUAAAAAUGAUGAAAUAACCAAAAAUUCGCGAAGUAAACCUAAUAUACUUUCUGGCCCAGGGUUUUCGCACAUGCGGCCCAUUUUACGCACCUGCGGAGCCACUUUUGUGGCCAGACGACCGCUUCUACGGUUUCCACUUAAACCCUCAAAACCGCACCGGCGCAUAAACUACCGCACCUGCGCCUUCAGCUCUCCACACCCAAUUCCGCAUAUGUGGCUUAUAGUCCGUUUCUGCGGUCCCGCACCUACCUCUUCAUAUGCCCAAACUCUCCACACUCGUAACAACUCCCCGAUGUGGGGAACGGGGACUGAAGGGAACCCUUAUCACCGAAGUGACCAGUAGAAGGACAUGGCAUGGAAGAACCCUGAACCGAUGGAGCAUGGGAUGAUCUCUGGGCUGGUAGGGCAUUGAGUGAUGAAUGGCCUUGAUGUGAGCUAUGAGAACCCUAGCCCGAUGAUGCCCCACAAGGAACUAGGCGAGUUGACUGAGCAUGUCUGAAUGGACGGUCUCUGCCGUGCUAAAACUGACCUCUCGAAGGAACACCACCAAAACUACCAGGUCCCCGAGGCCUCUUGGCCUCCAUCUUAUCUCGCUCCUGGCGACGAACUAACUCAAUCUCGCGAGCAAUGUCAACAACCUCCUCAAAAGUGGCACCUGACACCCUCUUCCUGGUCAUGAGAAUCCGAAGCUGAUAUGUAAGGCCAUCAACGAACCUCCGGAUCCUCUCUCUAUCCGUAGGAACCAACCAAACAAAACUCUAAACCAAAUAGUUGUAACUAAUAUAAUAAUAACAACUAGAAAAAAAAAUUAAGCAUGAAUGUAAAAAAUUAGAUUCUUAGCCAUGGUACCUCAAAACACUUCAACAAAUGAGUCUAAAACUCAAACAAUGGUCAAUAAGCUUUCCACUAAAUACAUAACUUCAUUCUAGCGCUCAGAUAAACAUGAUGUUUCUUUUUCAAUUAUAUGUCCAAAACUCACUUAAUUACUUUCAAACCAUAUUCAAAAGACAAGUAAAAUUAACCAUUGUGCAGACAAAAUGAAACUCCUUAAACUAAUGCAACGAGACCUGAUCUUUCAUAUAAAAUACAUGUAUUAAUAAAGUAUGUAUUUUAACAUAGUUAUUAAAGAACAAGAAAGCUGAAGCUCUUUUUUAAUUCCUUUCCUUUUACAUGUUUAUCAAUGCAUUAACUUAUCAUUUAUAACUAAGAUACAUAGACAACUAAAUAUAAACAAACAAACAAACGGAUUCAAUCUGAGGAUGCAAAGUUGAACAUUUGUUCAUUUUUCUUAUAAUAAUGUAAGGAUAAAAAUAACAUCUUCAUUAUCUAUUGUAGAAGAAAAUUACUCGAGAAGUUUGAGACAAUUACCUAGUUACAGAAUUUUAGCAGCUAAAUGACCCCCGAGUACUUAGAAACAACGAACACAGCAUAAACAAGAACCCAGCAACAACAGCCCCAAACGGACAGUAGAAAAUAGCAGUAACAGAACUCAAGAAUACCCCCGAAAAACCCAGCAAGAAAACACUUGAACUAGCAACUAGUAACCCCAGAAAUUACUUAAGAGAUCUUUUUGUCUUUCCAAAGAUUUUGCACACAAACAAUACUCACAAAAGCUCUGAAAUUUCAGCUUGCCAUAUGUGCACAACUGCUGAUUUCUUUAAGAUAUGUGCCCCUUUUUGAGUGUAAAAGAUGAUCGCUAAGUGUGAGGAAAGAACUCUUCCUUUAUAGAAAAGGAAAGAGAUUGAAUUAUUUGAUUGAAUAUGUCCAAAGGACGGAUAUCUGUCCAAAGGACAGAUUUCCACCUAAAAUCUGUCCCUUAUUCAAAGGAAAGAUUUUUGGUCAAAAAUCUGUCCAAAAGAUAAAUUUUCACCAACUAUGAACAGUGUUAGGAGCAGUGUACUGUAAACAACCUUUAAACAGUAAAAAGCAGCCAAACAAGUACCUUACACUCAAAUAUUAAGCUUUUAUCAUGACUGAAACUCAAGCUAACACACUCAUACUCAAACAAACUAUGAAUUGGCAAAGCAAGAAACAAGACUUCAAAUGUAAUUGAACUAAGUAUCCAAAUGCUAAACUAAAACUAAUCAAUUAACGAGAACUAAUAAUGGUCGAUUGAAAUAAGGAAACACCACCCAAAACAAAACUUAAAUGAACAUUAGUAAAUUAUCGAACAACGAGUAAAAUCAACUAACUAAACGACUAACUAAGUGAACGAUUCAACGAACAAAGAUAACUAAUCAACAAUGUAUUAAUUUUAAAUUCUAAUUAACAUUAAUUGACCAAAAGAGAAAUCAAAAGCUAUUUCUAUUAAAAAUCAAAAAUUAGUGAGGGAACGAAGGUCUAUGGAUUGAUACCUAAAUUCGUAAACUCAAAUUUGCUCGUCCUAACGCCACCCGGGGGAUGAAGUAUGGCCACCGAACUCCAGGUUUCUUGCCAACUCAUACACCAUAUGCCGAAAGAUGGGUCAGUGGCUUGAGGAAGCAAUAAACCGGGGGCAUGGUGGCUUAUAGAAGCGGAUAGAGGUAGUUUGGCAACGAGUGGUGGCAGUGACAGUGGUGGAUCAGUAGUGGGGUAGCCGGAUGGUAGCUUCACCAGAGAUUGGGUCAAAACCAAUACCAAAUGAUAGCCCUUGUCGAGCUAUAUACUUCUAUGCAAGCGUUGGGUGAAAGGGGUGGCUCAAUAUUCACGGAUUUGACAAAAAAGUGCGGCUAUGGCUUUUCUAGAUCUAAAAUUCGUAGUGUUUGAGGAGUUUUUGAAGGAUAUUAUUUGAAGAUAUGGAAAGAGGAGGUUGAGGGGAGUGUAUGAUGAUGACUGGGGGUGUUUGGAGGUGCUCCGCCGCCGGUGGCGAAUUGCGGUGGGCAGCACCGGGCAGAGCUGGGGGCUAGGUUAGAGAGAUGAGAAAGGGUGAGAAGAGAGAGGAAGAAGAGGGAAAAUUAAGGGGGAAAUGGGGUAAAAUUUUGGGUAUUGGAGGGCUUAAAUAUU
This 4591-nucleotide long non-coding RNA is filed under the name Nicotiana tabacum (common tobacco). RNAcentral describes it as "long non-coding RNA (NTAB_LNC019379)". The record is from RNAcentral. Lineage: Eukaryota; Viridiplantae; Streptophyta; Magnoliopsida; Solanales; Solanaceae.